RNAcentral lists this microRNA precursor (95 nucleotides) under Ornithorhynchus anatinus (platypus). Its description in RNAcentral is "microRNA oan-mir-193 precursor". Its record names the gene oan-mir-193. The stretch from base 9 to 83 matches the Rfam family "mir-193 microRNA precursor family". The record is from miRBase by way of RNAcentral. Lineage: Eukaryota; Metazoa; Chordata; Mammalia; Monotremata; Ornithorhynchidae.
GGUUGUGAUUCCAGAGUCGGGGUUUUGAGGGCGAGAUGAGUUUGUGUUUUAUCCAACUGGCCCACAAAGUCCCGCUUUUGGUGGUCACUUUGAUC